CGCUGCGCUCACGCAAGGCAACAUUGUGUCCCGGCAUUCCCGCCCCCUUCGUGCGGAGUAGACGUGUGUGGUAUGCAAGUGCGAGAGCAGGACGCACGCAGAAAGUGUUCGUGCGUAGUUUGCGCGCUACAGGUUUCAUCGUGUUUGUUGUACGGUGUUCUGACAUACGUACACAUAGAGUGUUCGCCGCAUUACGUGGCCCGAUAAACGCAAGCUUCGUUCCCUGGGACUAGAUGAGGCGUACAUCAUUGCGCUCGCUUGCGCCUGCAGGCGAAUGCCUUGUUCCAUUUACAUCGAAAGGAAAGCCGCAAUGGGAAGAGAUUCGAUAAGAGUUGGAAAUUCGCUGCCAAGUUUUACGCCGUUUCGGGUUAGAUCGGAGCACUACACCAGAAAAGCAAAGCAGUAGGUGUACCUGCCGUGACGUCAUGACGCACAAGGUGGUGACGGGGGACGAAGAGGACACCGCGAUGUUUUGGCACUCGCUCCGGAUACCACGCUCUGUGCAUAUACGCCACUAAUUCGACUUUGCUGACCGUGGCUGCUGCUGCUGUCUUUCGGAAUGGCGCACACGCUGUACAACGCCCAUAAAACUAACUGGUGUAUAUAAAGAGCCAUGUGUAUAUUAACCCUACCGAUUAGCCGACUGCUGGGUCUUUCUCUGGAACAACGCAAUGAAAAAGAGAAAGCUACC
This is a non-coding RNA of Dermacentor andersoni, 691 nucleotides long. The record is from RefSeq and is a predicted model, not a curated record. Lineage: Eukaryota; Metazoa; Arthropoda; Arachnida; Ixodida; Ixodidae.